GACGAACGCUGGCGGCGUGCCUAAUACAUGCAAGUUGAGCGCUGAAGGUUGGUACUUGUACCAACUGGAUGAGCAGCGAACGGGUGAGUAACGCGUGGGGAAUCUGCCUUUGAGCAGGGGACAACAUUUGGAAACGAAUGCUAAUACCGCAUAAAAACUUUAAACACAAGUUUUAAGUUUGAAAGGUGCAAUUGCAUCACUCAAAGAUGAUCCCGCGUUGUAUUAGCUAGUUGGUGAGGUAAAGGCUCACCAAGGCGAUGAUACAUAGCCGACCUGAGAGGGUGAUCGGCCACAUUGGGACUGAGACACGGCCCAAACUCCUACGGGAGGCAGCAGUAGGGAAUCUUCGGCAAUGGACGAAAGUCUGACCGAGCAACGCCGCGUGAGUGAAGAAGGUUUUCGGAUCGUAAAACUCUGUUGGUAGAGAAGAACGUUGGUGAGAGUGGAAAGCUCACCAAGUGACGGUAACUACCCAGAAAGGGACGGCUAACUACGUG
RNAcentral lists this ribosomal RNA (497 nucleotides) under uncultured bacterium. RNAcentral describes it as "partial 16S ribosomal RNA". It matches the Rfam family "Bacterial small subunit ribosomal RNA", at positions 28 to 507 of the family's 1533-position model. The record is from RNAcentral.